RNAcentral lists this small RNA (555 nucleotides) under Pongo abelii (Sumatran orangutan). RNAcentral's name for it is "processed transcript". The record is from RNAcentral. Lineage: Eukaryota; Metazoa; Chordata; Mammalia; Primates; Hominidae.
GUUAGUCCAGGGGCGACUUUUCCGCAAAAGCCCCGGAGUGUUGGCGCACCUGCCAGGUUACCCUGGGUCUGCAGUCCAUGUCAGAUUGGGGCGCAGUAAGUGAAGGCGCGGGUCAGGCUGCUAUGGCAGUACUGGCUUUGCUUUCCCACUCCGGCGGGAGCCUGUGUUGCAGCGUGUUUCCCUCUGCCUGCUGAGCUCCGGGAGGCCAGAAACGGCCUUUGACCCCUUGCCCCAGUGCCCGACAGCGAGUAGGCACUCGCCAUAACCAGCAGACCACAGCAUUCAGGCAUCCUGUGACGGGACAAUUUUCUCCGGAAAAUAGUGAAUUCAUUCUUCAAGAAGAGCCGAAUCCACAUAUGUCGAAGCAAGACAGAAACCAAAGACCGUCCAGCAUGGUCAGUGAAACAUCCACGGCUGGGACCGCCUCCACCCUGGAGGCCAAGCCUGGACCCAAGAUCAUAAAGUCCAGCAAUAAAGUCCACAGCUUUGGGAAGAGAGACCAGGCCAUUCGGAGGAACCCCAAUGUUCCCGUGGUGGUGAGGGGCUGGCUGCACA